Molecule: ribosomal RNA, 253 nt
Filed under: uncultured bacterium
Lineage: Bacteria
Description: partial 16S ribosomal RNA
Rfam family: Bacterial small subunit ribosomal RNA
Source: RNAcentral
GACGAGGGGUCCUAGCGUUGUUCGGAAUCACUGGGCGUAAAGCGUAUGUAGGCGGCCUUUUAAGUCGAUUGUGAAAUCCCAUGGCUUAACCAUGGAAUUGCAUUCGAAACUGAAGGGCUUGAGUGUGGGAGAGAUUGGUAGAAUACCUGGUGUAGUGGUGAAAUACGUAGAUAUCAGGUGGAAUACCGGUGGCGAAGGCGGCCAAUUGGCCCAACACUGACGCUGAGAUACGAAAGCGUGGGGAUCAAACAGG